GUGAACGCUGGCGGUAGGCCUAACACAUGCAAGUCGAACGGCAGCACAGUAAGAGCUUGCUCUUACGGGUGGCGAGUGGCGGACGGGUGAGGAAUACAUCGGAAUCUACUUUUUCGUGGGGGAUAACGUAGGGAAACUUACGCUAAUACCGCAUACGACCUACGGGUGAAAGCAGGGGAUCUUCGGACCUUGCGCGAUUGAAUGAGCCGAUGUCGGAUUAGCUAGUUGGCGGGGUAAAGGCCCACCAAGGCGACGAUCCGUAGCUGGUCUGAGAGGAUGAUCAGCCACACUGGAACUGAGACACGGUCCAGACUCCUACGGGAGGCAGCAGUGGGGAAUAUUGGACAAAGGGCGCAAGCCUGAUCCAGCCAUACCGCGUGGGUGAAGAAGGCCUUCGGGUUGUAAAGCCCUUUUGUUGGGAAAGAAGAGCAGCAGGUUAAUACCCCGCUGUUCUGACGGUACCCAAAGAAUAAGCACCGGCUAACUUCGUG
This 491-nucleotide ribosomal RNA is filed under the name uncultured bacterium. Its description in RNAcentral is "partial 16S ribosomal RNA". It matches the Rfam family "Bacterial small subunit ribosomal RNA", at positions 29 to 507 of the family's 1533-position model. The record is from RNAcentral.